Molecule: ribosomal RNA, 432 nt
Filed under: Klebsiella pneumoniae
Lineage: Bacteria; Pseudomonadati; Pseudomonadota; Gammaproteobacteria; Enterobacterales; Enterobacteriaceae
Description: bacterial SSU rRNA
Rfam family: Bacterial small subunit ribosomal RNA
Source: RNAcentral
CCUACGGGAGGCAGCAGUGGGGAAUUUUGGACAAUGGGCGAAAGCCUGAUCCAGCAAUGCCGCGUGUGUGAAGAAGGCCUUCGGGUUGUAAAGCACUUUUGUCCGGAAAGAAAUGGCUCUGGUUAAUACCUGGGGUCGAUGACGGUACCGGAAGAAUAAGGACCGGCUAACUACGUGCCAGCAGCCGCGGUAAUACGUAAGGUCCAAGCGUUAAUCGGAAUUACUGGGCGUAAAGCGUGCGCAGGCGGUUGUGCAAGACCGAUGUGAAAUCCCCGAGCUUAACUUGGGAAUUGCAUUGGUGACUGCACGGCUAGAGUGUGUCAGAGGGGGGUAGAAUUCCACGUGUAGCAGUGAAAUGCGUAGAGAUGUGGAGGAAUACCGAUGGCGAAGGCAGCCCCCUGGGAUAACACUGACGCUCAUGCACGAAAGCGU